CUACGGGACGCUCCAGUGAGGAAUUUUGCGCAAUGGGGGAAACCCUGACGCAGCAACGCCGCGUGAGUGAUGAAGGCUUUCGGGUCGUAAAGCUCUGUCAAGUGGGAAGAACAUACAUAAGGCCAAUACCUUUAUGUACUGACGGUACCACCGAAGGAAGCACCGGCUAACUCCGUGCCAGCAGCCGCGGUAAUACGGGGGGUGCAAGCGUUAUUCGGAAUCAUUGGGCGUAAAGAGCACGUAGGCGGUUAUCUAAGUCAGAUGUGAAAGCCCGGGGCUUAACCCCGGAAGUGCAUUUGAUACUGGGAAACUUGAGUAUGGGAGAGGGAAGUGGAAUUCCUGGUGUAGAGGUGAAAUUCGUAGAUAUCAGGAGGAACACCGGUGGCGAAGGCGACUUCCUGGACCAAUACUGACGCUGAGGUGCGAAGGCGUGGGGAGCAAACAGGAUUAGAUACCCCCGUAGUC
This 465-nucleotide ribosomal RNA is filed under the name uncultured bacterium. RNAcentral's name for it is "partial 16S ribosomal RNA". It matches the Rfam family "Bacterial small subunit ribosomal RNA", at positions 339 to 795 of the family's 1533-position model. The record is from RNAcentral.